GCAUUUAAAGUGACAUCACCAUGCCAAUCCCAACUCACUGGAACCAGGGGAAAACAUCGGCUAGACCUGAUUAAAUGCAAUGGAGGAACAAGACAAGAAGGAUACUCUGAAAGUUUGUCACAGGCGAACCUGAUGCCAUCAGAAGAAGCAGAAAGACUUCCUAAAAGAAAUGAUGGCUUAACUGAGACCCAGACAAUGAGAGACUGAGGAGGAAGCCCCUAGAGCAGAGGAGUAGCAGGUGCCAAGUCCCUGGGGUAGGCAGCAA
Molecule: long non-coding RNA, 265 nt
Filed under: Mustela putorius furo (domestic ferret)
Lineage: Eukaryota; Metazoa; Chordata; Mammalia; Carnivora; Mustelidae
Description: lncRNA (ENSMPUG00000026128.1)
Source: RNAcentral